CUCACCUAACCCAAGUCAUCAGGUAGC
Molecule: non-coding RNA, 27 nt
Filed under: Homo sapiens (human)
Lineage: Eukaryota; Metazoa; Chordata; Mammalia; Primates; Hominidae
Source: RNAcentral